RNAcentral lists this ribosomal RNA (465 nucleotides) under uncultured bacterium. RNAcentral describes it as "partial 16S ribosomal RNA". It matches the Rfam family "Bacterial small subunit ribosomal RNA", at positions 28 to 507 of the family's 1533-position model. The record is from RNAcentral.
GACGAACGCUGGCGGCGUGCUUAACACAUGCAAGUCGAACGGAAAGGCCCCCUUGUGGGGUACUCGAGUGGCGAACGGGUGAGUAACACGUGAGUAACCUACCCUUGACUUUGGGAUAACUUCAGGAAACUGGGGCUAAUACCGGAUAGGAGCUCCUGCUGCAUGGUGGGGGUUGGAAAGUUUCGGCGGUUGGGGAUGGACUCGCGGCUUAUCAGCUUGUUGGUGGGGUAGUGGCUCACCAAGGCUUUGACGGGUAGCCGGCCUGAGAGGGUGACCGGCCACAUUGGGACUGAGAUACGGCCCAGACUCCUACGGGCGGCAGCAGUGGGGAAUAUUGCACAAUGGGCGGAAGCCUGAUGCAGCAACGCCGCGUGCGGGAUGACGGCCUUCGGGUUGUAAACCGCUUUCGCCUGUGACGAAGCGUGAGUGACGGUAAUGGGUAAAGAAGCACCGGCUAACUACGUG